GUUAACGAAUAGGAGUGCCUAAAAGGCUGAGAUAAAAUCCUUGGAACCUGAACGGGUUAAUACCCGCGUAGGAAAUUCGGAAUCUAAAUUU
This 91-nucleotide non-coding RNA is filed under the name Bacteroidota bacterium. RNAcentral describes it as "Bacteroidetes bacterium TPP sequence". It matches the Rfam family "TPP riboswitch aptamer (THI element)". From Rfam's summary of the family: Vitamin B(1) in its active form thiamin pyrophosphate (TPP) is an essential coenzyme that is synthesised by coupling of pyrimidine and thiazole moieties in bacteria. The previously detected thiamin-regulatory element, thi box was extended, resulting in a new, highly conserved RNA secondary structure, the THI element, which is widely distributed in eubacteria and also occurs in some archaea. The record is from RNAcentral. Lineage: Bacteria; Pseudomonadati; Bacteroidota.